This 604-nucleotide ribosomal RNA is filed under the name uncultured bacterium. RNAcentral describes it as "bacterial SSU rRNA". It matches the Rfam family "Bacterial small subunit ribosomal RNA", at positions 9 to 625 of the family's 1533-position model. The record is from RNAcentral.
GAGUUUGAACCUGGCUCAGGAUGAACGCUGGCGGCAUGCCUAAUACAUGCAAGUCGAGCGAACCACUUCGGUGGUGAGCGGCGAACGGGUGAGUAACACGUAGGUGAUCUGCCCAUCAGACGGGGACAACGAUUGGAAACGAUCGCUAAUACCGGAUAGGACGAAAGUUUAAAGGUGCUUCUGGCACCGCUGAUGGAUGAGCCUGCGGCGCAUUAGCUAGUUGGUAGGGUAAAGGCCUACCAAGGCGACGAUGCGUAGCCGACCUGAGAGGGUGAACGGCCACACUGGGACUGAGACACGGCCCAGACUCCUACGGGAGGCAGCAGUAGGGAAUCUUCGGCAAUGGGCGAAAGCCUGACCGAGCAACGCCGCGUGAAUGAUGAAGGCCUUCGGGUUGUAAAAUUCUGUUAUAAGGGAAGAACGACUUUAGUAGGAAAUGGCUAGAGUGUGACGGUACCUUAUGAGAAAGCCACGGCUAACUACGUGCCAGCAGCCGCGGUAAUACGUAGGUGGCGAGCGUUAUCCGGAAUUAUUGGGCGUAAAGAGCGCGCAGGUGGUUGAUUAAGUCUGAUGUGAAAGCCCACGGCUUAACCGUGGAGGGUCA